Molecule: unclassified non-coding RNA, 332 nt
Filed under: soil metagenome
Description: partial contains 5.8S ribosomal RNA, internal transcribed spacer 2, and large subunit ribosomal RNA
Rfam family: 5.8S ribosomal RNA (bases 1-120)
Source: RNAcentral
GAUGAAGAACGUAGCAAAAUGCGAUAAGUAAUGUGAAUUGCAGAAUUCAGUGAAUCAUCGAAUCUUUGAACGCACAUUGCGCCCGCCAGUAUUCUGGCGGGCAUGCCUGUUCGAGCGUCAUUUCAACCCUCAAGCACAGCUUGGUGUUGGGACUCGCGUUAAUUCGCGUUCCUCAAAUUGAUUGGCGGUCACGUCGAGCUUCCAUAGCGUAGUAGUAAAACCCGCGUUACUGGUAAUCGUCGCGGCCACGCCGUUAAACCCCAACUUCUGAAUGUUGACCUCGGAUCAGGUAGGAAUACCCGCUGAACUUAAGCAUAUCAAUAAGCGGAGGA